Molecule: ribosomal RNA, 538 nt
Filed under: Echthrodesis lamorali
Lineage: Eukaryota; Metazoa; Arthropoda; Insecta; Hymenoptera; Scelionidae
Description: eukaryotic LSU rRNA
Rfam family: Eukaryotic large subunit ribosomal RNA
Source: RNAcentral
ACUUUUCUUUUAGAAGAACGUCGCGCCCCGUGGGUUGUGGGCUUGAGCCCCAAGAUCGUGGACUGCUUUGUUUGUUUGGGAACCAAUGGAGACGGUUGGUUUUUUUCCUGGCCGGCUGCCCGCCGGUACCCCCAAGGUAUCGAGCCGCCCUUUGAAUGCGUUUCGGCUUGUUGCAAGCCCGGCCCUUUUAUCCUGGAGGUGCGGGCCGAGGGCUGUUCCCGGGGGUGGUUGGGUGUUGGUUGACGGUUUUUUCGAACUGGGUUAAUACCGGUCGGCGACGCUAUUGCUUUGGGUACUUUCAGGACCCGUCUUGAAACACGGACCAAGGAGUCUAACAUGUGCGCGAGUCAUUGGGACGUUGAAACCUAAAGGCGCAUUGAAAGAAAAGAUCAACCUAGCGUUGAUUGAGGGAGGAUGGGCGACGUUUAGAUGUCGCUUCGCACUCCCGGGGUGUCUCUUAAAGUCAUCGCGACUUGAGGCGCACCCAGAGCGUACACGUUGGGACCCGAAAGAUGGUGAACUAUGCCUGGUCAGGAUG